Molecule: long non-coding RNA, 1067 nt
Filed under: Mus caroli (Ryukyu mouse)
Lineage: Eukaryota; Metazoa; Chordata; Mammalia; Rodentia; Muridae
Description: RIKEN cDNA 4930419G24 gene (MGP_CAROLIEiJ_G0003346.1)
Source: RNAcentral
AUCUGCAGCCCUAGAGCCUUUUCCCUACAACAGUGAAACCAACAACGAAUGUGUCAGGAGGCGUCUUGAAGUUAUUUAUGACAAGAUAGGCUAAUGUUUAAAGAGCAAUCCGACAUGAGUGAAGAGAAAAUCUCCCAUCUUGAAGAAAAACAAUUCCUGUUGUGUCCCAGAGUCAAGAAGGAUUUAGCACAGGAAUAUAUCAACAAACUUGCCCGAAGAAAUAUCAAGUCGAAGAAAAUGUCAUCACCGUAGACAUCAGUGGACUCAUUCUGGACCAUCUUGACACUUGCUGCAGACAAGCCAAGAAAGUAAACUGGGCAAGAUGAAUCUAAUUGAAAAAUGGAUCUGUUCACUUGAAUUAAAUAAAUCACGACACUUGAGAAAUUGUAUGGCAAUGCUAUUGUGACCAUGGAAAAGAAAAUUAUUCCACAGGAAAGGACUGGACAAAGCUAACAAUAGCAACAGACAGCAGAGCUACAGAGAGUCCACAGAUGAGUCCACGGUGUCAGCAUAGCCACAGAGGACAGUGCUGAGACAGCCAAAGAAGUGAUGGGAUGAGCAAACAGGAAACGAGGGGGGACAGUCUCUGCCAAGUGGAAAGGUUGACAGCUGUCAACCCUGCUCCCAGUUCCAAGUCCUGAGUGGGCUUCCUAAAUGGACAUGGAAUGAUAGCUGGAAGAAGAAAUAAAGCUCUCCUUAUUUCACGUCUCCUACCUAAUACAGUGGUCCUUUGUGUAAGAUGAUAAGGAGUCCUGGAGAGUGGAUCUAGCAUUUUGGAUCCCAAAAGAACAACCACAGUCACAAUGAAGACACAGUGGUGAUGUCCUGCAACAGCAGCCCCGCUGACCAUACCCACUUCUGCCUGGGCAUGAAGCCAUGUGACACCUCCUCAAACACAGGUGCAUUGGCCCCGGGGCCUCUCUGCCCAGUCCUUUCUCUUCUCCCUGGAGCACCUGGCCUCCCACACCUGCUGCUGAUGUCUUUAUAUAACAACUGCUCUGCCCAUUAUGCAUUUAAGACUGUGAAAUAGACCUGAAGUACUUUAAUAAAAAGAAUAUUCUAUAUCC